RNAcentral lists this ribosomal RNA (227 nucleotides) under uncultured Treponema sp. RNAcentral's name for it is "partial 16S ribosomal RNA". It matches the Rfam family "Bacterial small subunit ribosomal RNA", at positions 29 to 250 of the family's 1533-position model. The record is from RNAcentral. Lineage: Bacteria; Pseudomonadati; Spirochaetota; Spirochaetia; Treponematales; Treponemataceae.
AACGAACGCUGGCGGUGCGUCUUAAGCAUGCAAGUCGAACGGCAAGAAAGUGCUUGCACUUUCCUAGAGUGGCGGACUGGUGAGUAACGCGUGGGUGAUCUACCUUUAAGAUGGGGAUAGCUUUUAGAAAUAAGAGAUAAUACCGAAUGUGCUUAUGGUGCUGUGGUGCUGUAAGGAAAGGAGCGUUUGCUCCGCUUAAAGAUGAGCCUGCGUCCCAUUAGCUUAGG